CUCGCCGUGCAGCCGCGGGUCGCUGAGGGGUUUCCAGGCGCGCGACAGAAGGUGCAGCCCUGGCUGCUAUCUGCUGCUGGCCCCGGGGAUGGCUUCUCCGAGUCUGGACAGGUGGCUGGACUCGACGCAGCUGCUGGGUUCGGGGUGGCCUCCUGGCCUCGGCCUCUGCGAGCCUCCCAGGGUUCCCCUGGGCCGGCUGGUUCCACUCAGAGGGCGACAAGCCGGGGACCGGCGCGUCAGGCUCUCGGAACAGACUGUACACCUUGGCUGCAGCCGCUGCGGGGUGGCUGCCCACGGGGUGCCACAACCGAUUCGCAUCCCUGCUAGCUGGUUCGUAUCUCCCUAUGGAAUCCCGUUGGGCAUGACUUGUCCCCAUCAAGACAGCCAGGACAAGUGGCAGGAAGCCCCUCCAACGCACCCGUCGGAUGCAUCCGGAGCAGCGAGCGGUGGUCGGCGCUCUCAUGGCGCCAGAGUGGCUGCAGAGCUGUGGGCACCGGAGACCUCGCGGGGAGGUGCUUUCCAUCGUUCGCUCCACAGACCCGCCUGGCGACUUGCCCCUUCCCGUCUAGGGGACCUCUGAAACAGCCGUUUGGGGGUCCAGGGGUUCCUAGGUAAGGGCUGUAUGGCGUGAGCUGCCCGGGCUGCGCACCGAGCCCGAGCCUGCCGCACCUUCGCUCCCGCACUGCCGCCGUCUGAAGGGGAACCGAAGGGUUUUAUUUUUGGAAACCGCCCCCUGCUUUUUCGCCUCUUUUAUCCACGCCAUGCCCCCCUCCUUGGAGGGACAGCUCGGCCCCCUUAUUACGGGAGACAAGAAUUCCAGCAACACCCUCUUUGGCACCGAGAAGCGAGCGGGCGGCGAGGGGAUUAACCCGUGAGGAGCUGCGGGCGACAGGGCAGACCCGGGGACUGGAAAGACAGAUGGCGUCUGCCUGGACCAGCGCACCUGAGCUGCCUUUUUCCUGUCCUGGGCAAACUCAAGUUGUCCACCUGUCCUGGAUGUAUUUUCUGUUCCUGACCUCACGGACCCAGAUGAACUGCUUCUCGGGCCUGAAGGAAGCUGGGGAAGGUACCCAGACCGGAGUAAUGGGGACCGAGCCCGAGGCAUGCGCGCCUGGUCUCGUUGCUUCCACCUCUGACCGCUGGGGGCGCUAGGCGAGAAUGCAGGUGUCCCUGGGGCAGCUCCCAAGAGCCGGUUGCCUAUGGGGAAGGGCAACUUGGGGCGCGCGCCCCCUGGUGGAGCUGGUCACACCCUUGGCCACCGUGUUUUGUAGCGACACACUCUGCCAACCUGCUUAGAGCCUAGAUCUUAAUCUGCUUCCUGUGGCGCCAAGCCUUGACCUGGGCCUAUGGUGAUGGUGGAUGCCCGCUGGAAGAGUUGUUCUCUUUUUACAAAGGUAGGCAUGGAGCCUCUUGAAUAAGGUGACUAAAGGAGAGUAUUGCUAAAGAUGGAAAUAAAACCCAGGCUAGUGGCCUCUGGCCCACAGUCCACUCUUUGAACUCCUACCACCGCCCCUCAUUCCUUGGAGAAUUUCCCCAAGGGGCUGCAUGAGCCUUUGAGCCCUGCUGGGCCGGGUUCUCACACCUUCUUGUAUUGAAGGGGACAGGGAUGUCCGUUGCCUCCCACCUAAAUUAACCUUCUUCCCUGUGUCCCAUGCCCCAAAGCCUAAAAGGCUAGGCAUAUAUGGUUUUCCUGAAAGUGUUUUCACAGCCUACUGGCUCCUAAGCAGACAGGAUAAAAGAGCCUGUAAAGGCACCAAUUACAACUUCCCAUACCAGCCCCUCCCUUCCCAGAAUCCUAAGUAAUACCUAACUGGAUUAGAAAGUCUCAAUAUUUGACACUGGCCUACGGAGUCCUCCCUGCCCGGCUGGUUUUCUGACCGAUCUGAACUUACUCCUGCUCGGUAUUCAUUACACAGUACCCUCACAGUCUCUGCUUGGCAAAUGUUUGAUGCAUUGUGACGGCUCAUCUCUCUACCUAGAGUAUUCAUCUCCAAGAGGUCUUCAGGACUACCUCUUCAUUUCACCUCACAGAGCAAACAUCGGCCCCUACAGUGGCCAUGUGUGUUCUUCCGCUUCCCAUUCCUGUGAGGAAAUACCCAAGCUUGCCCACUUACAAGGGGAAAUCAUUUCCUGGGGCUUUGUUGUUGUCUUGGGUUGGUUUGGUUUUUGUUGUUAUUCUUUGGUUUUGGUUUUUCUCAAGACAGAGUUUCUCUGUUUAGCUCUGGCUGUCUCCUUUGUAAGACAGGAUGGCCUUCAGCUCAGAGAUUUGUCUGUCCCCUGAGUACUGGGAUUAAAGGCAUACGGUGCCACCUCCCAGUUCUUCCCUCCUCUUUUAAAACAUAUUUUAAAAAAUUAUUUUCAGCUAUGUGUAGGUGUGUGUAUAUGUCUACAUAUGGGUGUGUGCACACGAGUGCAGGGUCCUUUGGAAGCCAGUUACACAGGAUCUCCUGGAGCCGGACUUACAGGUGAUUGUGAGCCACCCAAGGUGGCUGGGAACUAGGGACCUCUAGGGACAGCAAGUGCUCUUCACCACCAGCUCUCUUUAGCUCCAUUCUUCUUUACUUAAUACAUGUCAGACAGGGUCCUUGGCUUGCCAAUUUCUACCAGAUACAAGAACUAAGUAACUAAGUAGCCUUUGUAACUAAGAUCAACUUUAGAAGCUAAAGAGUUGAAAGCUAUUCAAUUCCAUCACGAUCAUAUCUAAUUUAAUCCUCUUCCUCUCCCCACUGUAUCCUCAUGAAAAAGCUGCAGGCCCUAUAGUGGGGAAAGUGGGGUGGGUGGGGUCGGAUCUGUUCUUCAGACUCCCCUUUCACGCUCUGGCUCUCCAGGGUCAUGUUUCCACAGGAAGUGUCAGAAAAGGAGUAACAAAGUCUUAUUUAGCUGAUGCCCAAGCAUUGGUCAGCUCAUUCAUAGGCAUGUGUGGGUUCUUUGGGUGUGUGUGUGUGUGUGUGUGUGUGUUCCACCCCAAACUGUCAUAGCAAAGUCAUCUUUGACCAACCUCUUGGCAAUCCUGCAUUCCUUGCCCCAAGAGACAUUCCAGUCCCUGCCAGGCCAGGCAAUGGUAAGGUGGCUACUUAACUUCCCUACCAUGUAGACUAUUCUAGCAAAGUUCCACAGUUACAAUUCUCCAUCAGGAAGUGCAUGUGAGUUUCUUCAUAUGUGUUCUUGCUCAGUUUCUAAAGAUGCACAUUAGUAGCUGCCAAGAACUCUCUUACUGUGUCUUGGCAUCUGUGGUGGUGGGGAGAUCUGUAAUAGCCAUCGAUUGCCCGAGCACCAGAAAAAAAGACAGCAGUCAUAGCAUCUCCUCUUCUGCCAGAUGGUGGCCUGCAUUAGGAGUGUCCUCAGGCUCAGGGAAACCUGAACCCCGGCUUCUAAGUUGACCAGAGAGUUCUUGCCCCAGUGGCUAACUCCAUCUUUUUCACCUAUGGGCAGGAACCAAGGUAGUUGGUAAAAGACCUGUUCUACUUAACUGUGUCCUAUACUUCUCUUCAGAAGGCCCUGUUGUUCUAGGCUCUGUCACUUGAGUGGACAGUGUAUGUUUGUGUGUGUGUGCGCGCGUGCAUGUUCAUGUGGGGUUGCAUACAUGUGUGGUAGCCUGAGGUCACCCUUGAGUGUCAUUCCUCAGUGGUCAUCCAUCAAGAUCUCUCACUGGCCUGGGACUUACUGAUUCCACUAGACUAGCUGUUUAAGAAGCCCGGGAGAUUUAUCUGCCUCUGCCUUCCCAGUGCUGGAAUUAACAGACACAUGCUUUCAUGCCUGGUUUUUCAUUUCUUUUUUCCUUCUUCUUCUUCUUUCUCUCUUUCUUUUGUUUUUCGGUUUAUUUUAUUUUAUUUUAUUUUAACCUGUGUUCUGGGGACCAAACUUAGGUCCUCGUGUUUGCAGGCAGGCACCCCAUCAACUGAACCAUCUCCCCAGCCCAGCUUCAGCAGACACACUAAAACCACAGAAAGAGUCCUGUUCCACAAUCUAUAAAAUUACUCAUCAGUC
This 3987-nucleotide long non-coding RNA is filed under the name Mus musculus (house mouse). RNAcentral's name for it is "RIKEN cDNA D030025P21 gene". Lineage: Eukaryota; Metazoa; Chordata; Mammalia; Rodentia; Muridae. The record is from RNAcentral.